Long non-coding RNA from Dromaius novaehollandiae (emu), 2785 nucleotides. RefSeq lists it as uncharacterized. The transcript has 3 exons. The record is from RefSeq and is a predicted model, not a curated record. Lineage: Eukaryota; Metazoa; Chordata; Aves; Casuariiformes; Dromaiidae.
GUUCAAAACAGGACUUACACCGAAAACUAUUCUCAACCUCACUUACGGACGUUCACACGGCCUCUCCUUCCUUUCACAACACCCUCUUCCUUGGUGUUUCACACACCAGCACAGACACAUCCACACAGCGCCUGCAGAACAGGCAGGGCAUCCAGGCAGGUUCAGACAACCAGGAUGAGCACAAACAGCCACCACAGCAGCAAAAGAAAGCCCUAUGGAGCCAGGUGCUGGAGAAGCAGUACCAAAUAGGUAGAUGAGGGAGCUCCAGUCCAGCUCAGCUCUUGUAUGUGACAGAAUGGAAAGUGAGCAAGGAAAUGGGGAAGCAGCUGAAUACAGAUGAACAUCAGGCCCUUGGGCUCAAGCCAGUGGGAGCAGUGUGGUUGACUCGCAGGGGCUAGAAGAAGCCAUCACAGAAGAAGACCAUGCAAGGUCAGAAACGUAUUUGCAGAUCCCUGCCAAGUCCCAUUACCGAGCUGACUGAAAGCACUUUAGAAGAAAAGGAGGGCGACUAGUUUUCCUCUGCCAUCAGGAGAUUUACUGCCUCUGAUCCAAUCUUCCCACUUCCAAAUCAGGACAGGCUGAAGAAGCUGGAAUCAGAUGAAAUGAUGCUACUCCUGACCAUCCUCUGAAUAUCCUUCCACAACAUGCCAUGUCCUUGUAAGGCCCUGGGUUUUGCCUUUACAAUACAGCUCAUGCAGAGUAACUGUGAAGCAUUUAGUUAGGACAUCUGCUAGGAAUAGAUUUAAGCCCACUGACAACUUAAUAGCAGAGGCUGCUGCUUAAUGGGAUGUUAUCAGUUGCUGUGGCACUCGCAAAAAGUCAGAAACGUAGGUGGUACUGGUGUUCCUGUCCUUUAACUUGCCUCUUCCUCUCAAGCAGCCCAGGCUGAGGCACACAGCAGACUCAAGGCUGGCAGCAUUUUCAGAGGCUCUGUCCUACCUAGUCAGAAUAAACUACACCACACAGGAGCUGCCAUGACACAAGACCACUCAGCCACCUGAAGACCCAGAAGGAAGCAAAUGUGUUGGAUGCCUUGGCUCUCAGUGAUUCCUAACUACCACACUGAGAAUUUUGUGGUGACUGCCUGAAACACGUCAGACAGCAGUUUGAUUUCUAGCCCACUUGUUCAGCCUCCGCCUGUAAGAAUACAUUCCUGCUUUGCCCUCUCAUGGGCACCACGGCUCCACGGCAGCAACACUGCUAGCCCUCGUCCUGCUAUAGAUCGCCCGUCUUUAUUACCUGUGAUAAAAGGCCACCCAGGGGCCAUCUCAGAAGAGAGGAUUUGGUCAAUCCAGGCAACUUUGGACGAUGGCAGGAAAUAAAGAACCAGUCAAGGAGCAGAACGUGACAGGAAACGCAAUGCCGUUUAUGGGAUUUGAAGGCCUUGCUAACAGGAGUGGAGAACGGCAUCCUGUCCCUGGAGGGCAUGAGGAUCCCGCAGGGUUGUGAGUGCAGGAACCAGCCACUCUUUGGUGUUUGGCCCCCUGGACUGACAUCCAGAUCCCCAAGUUAGGUACUGGGAGUUGUUUUAGAAAUGCACCAGGGAGAGUCGGACACUGAGGGUGGGAUCCAAGAAAGCCAAUAUGCCAUGCAAAGAGCUACGUAGUAGGAAACAGGAGAGAAGGGGACAGAUUGGGCGUCUCCACCCCUAGUCAGGUGUGUUAACUGGGGAGGUUUUGGAGAACAAUGCAGAAAAUCAUUAAACAUAUCAUGUUGGGCUCAUGUUGCUGGGUACAUCCCACAGUGCCAUCUCAUCUAACCACUGACACUCAAGAGUAUUUGACCAGAAAGCCUUCUGUUCAGAAAGAUCAAUAGGAUUCAAACUUACCUUUCUCAUAAAAAAUGUCAGUCUCCAGCCUUGGCCAUAUUCAGGGAGAGAAACUCAUUUUCUCUCAUGCUGUAGGUGUGACGUGACAUUCAAGAGUGACAGAUGCAGUGGUGUUGAUAGGGCCCCAUUGACAGGAUUCACAGCAUCAAUCCCUGCUCCUCAGAUUGUCUUUUAUUGAAUAUAAACACAAGAAAGCUCCUGGGAGCAGGACCAGCCAUAAGGACUUUCCGCUUCCAGGUGAGUUCUGCAGCAGGCUGGAGAGAUGAGCUUUUCCUCUUUUUCCGGCUCAGAGAAGGUUGAAUUCUUAGAGCACAGGGGCCUGCUUUGAGGAGGUGGGGGACUGCCCUCAGCAAGGACUGCUUCCUACCUGGUGGACAGGGUCCUGUGGUGGGAAAAACAGGUUUGAGCUUCCUCAGGCUCAGGGACUGCAUUAGGAUGCCAAACUGUGGUUUGAAAGAAAGUUGAAAACUUUAUUGCCUUUUUUCUGCCCAGUUCUUGAAGGAGGGUGAGGUCUGGGAGAGAAUAAUACAAGCAGGAACUGAAAACAUUGUUGGUUCUGAACUCAAGUUUAACUUCAGCUAAAAAGAAAAAACACAACUUAAUGUCUGGAUCCUGUUCAGGCUUAGAUGUAGACUGCACUAGACAGAAGUAGUUCUCAGCAUUCCUAGGGGCAUAAGCUGUGGCAGCAGAGGACAUUAAAACAUCAGAUAGUGAAGUACACAUGGGACAUAGGUGACUCCAGGGGUAGGCAGCAGGCCAGUGAGGACUUUGAAGAUCAGGACGUUUGGAACUGCAGGCUGUACCUCACAGGAAGCCCUGGAAGAAGUGGAGGAAGAGCAUGAUAAGAUCUCAGGAACCCAUGACAUUGAGAAGAUGGAUUGUCACAAGAGCUGGCUUGAAUGUUUAGUAUGAUGAUUUUACCAGGAAAAAAGCAUACUAUUAAAAAUUAUACUCUUU